GAUGAACGCUGGCGGCGUGCCUAAUACAUGCAAGUAGAACGCUGAAGGAGGAGCUUGCUCUUCUGGAUGAGUUGCGAACGGGUGAGUAACGCGUAGGUAACCUGCCUGGUAGCGGGGGAUAACUAUUGGAAACGAUAGCUAAUACCGCAUGACAACAGUUAUUGCAUGAUAACUGUUUAAAAGGGGCAACUGCUCCACUACCAGAUGGACCUGCGUUGUAUUAGCUAGUUGGUGAGGUAACGGCUCACCAAGGCGACGAUACAUAGCCGACCUGAGAGGGGGACCGGGGACAUGGGGACUGAGAUACGGCCAAGACGCGUACGGGAGGGAGCGGGGGGGAAUAUGGCGCGAUGGGAGGAAGGCUGAUGGAGGAACGGCGGGUGCGGGAUGACGGCCUGCGGGUUGUAAACCGAUUUCGCCUGUGACGAAGCGUGAGGGACGGUAAUGGGUAAAGAAGCACCGGCUAACUACGUG
This 474-nucleotide ribosomal RNA is filed under the name uncultured bacterium. Its description in RNAcentral is "partial 16S ribosomal RNA". It matches the Rfam family "Bacterial small subunit ribosomal RNA", at positions 28 to 507 of the family's 1533-position model. The record is from RNAcentral.